AACCACAACCCCAUCAGAAUUAGAACAAGACUUGUCCACUAGCUCCUGAAACACAGGGUGGUCUAUAAUGUCGGAGUUUACAAGGUACUGUCUUCUAGACUUGCCAACAUAGAUAGUGUGGAGUCCAUGUUGUUGUUGUUGUUGUUCUACUUCAUUGGAGGAGGAAGAGGAGGCGCCGCCUUUGUUGGAGUCAGUGCUGGCGGCGGAGACACAGCUGUUGUUGCGGCUGAGCUUGGUUAAUGAUGGCCACCUCUUGAUAGCUGAUUUCAGCUUUGUUAGCUUUCCAAGUUUGGCCAUUUUGGAAGGUGUUUGAUGAAUGUCUCAGAGAGUAGAGAAGAGAAGAAAGAGAGAGAGAGAGAUUGAGAGUUUGGGGUGAUGGGGGAAGGUGGGAGGGAAGGUUCAGUUAUAAAGGGAGGAGGGUACUUAAUUAGAGGGAGGGUAAGAGGGUAAAAACACGCAUGGCCCACUGUUUAGGACACAGCUAAGGAUGAUGUAUUUGGUGGAAAUAUAGAAAACCAGUUGCUCUUUUUCUUUGGCGUUUUGUGUUUGGGGUUACAACAGGAAAGGUGAUAAUCACCUGCAAAAUUCUUUUAUAAAUUUUAGAAAGUUAGAAAUAAAUGGAUUACUAAUAAAUAAAAUAUGUUAUGAAAUAUUUAUUUUUCUUUUUUGUAAUGUGGGAGAAUUUUCUGGAAAAUAUAUUAUUUUUUGUGCUACAAAUGUUUAAUGUUGUUACAAGUAAUAUGAGAUUAUUAUAUGAUUUAAAUUUUAUUAUUUAUAUAUUAAAAACUUAAAAUUAAAUUAGUUUAUUCUAAAUCGCGAUGAAGAACAUGAUCCUGCAUCCCAAAAUGAUUAUAUUUUCCAAUCUGGUUUCUUCAAGUAAUAUAAAAAUAUUAAUUUGUAUUUGUAGAAUUUUUCUUCUAAAUUAAGUGACAUUUUUCAUUGAAUAGGAAUAGAAAAUUAGAACAAGAAUGGAAAGAUAUGAUCUUUGUAUAUGAAUGAUAUCAUCAUUCUUAAACCAUGUAUUGUUUUCUCCACUUUUCAGACAUCAUCAUCUAGCACCAUUGUUACUAUUGUUUUAAGUUCAAGGAUUUUGUUAAUGAGGGUCAUACAAGUAAAUUAAUUUUGGAAAUUCAAGUUAAACAAUUUUUUUAAAUAUUAAAUAUGAGUGUAAUACUUGUAUAUCAUAAAGAUUAUAUAAAAUUAGUACAUAAUAUAUUAUUUAUUUAUAUUACUUUUUUGAAGAGUCAAUGAUAAUUUAAACAUGAAUGAUGCAUUAUACAGUAACAAUGUAUAAAACUCAUACACUGCGAGCAUGUAUAUUUUCUCACUUUUCAAGGAAAAAUAUAUACAUAACUAAGAAUGUAAGAGUUUUUACAUUAUCACUGUAUUGUCUAUCAUUCAUAUUUAAUACUCUUAAAUAUAAGUAAUGCAAAUGAGUAAUAAAUUAUGCAUUAAUUUUGUAUAAAUAUUUAUACUGAUAAUAUAUAGAUAUUAUACCCAUAUAAAUUUACAUUUUUAACUCCUUAAACAACUUGCUAGGAUAAUUGUUAACCAUAUUAUUUGUGUAAUCAACUUGUACAAUAUAAGAAAUCAUGUUAUCCUGGAUGUAUAAAAAGAAAAAUAUAUUUAAAUUAUGAAUUUUUGGAUUGGGGCAUAAAAAUUAAAAUAACAUAAGUUCAUUAACUUUUUUCUUUCUUUCUAGAAUCUCUCCCACCGGAGAGGAGUAUAUUAAUCUGGAUUGAGACAUGAAUGAAACAGAAACUCUACAAAUCAAAUUCAGAAAUUCAUCAGGUUAAAUAAUUCAACCAUCUUAUUGAAUUAAUACAUAUUAAUUAAGUUUAUAAGUUUUAUUUUAUUUUAUAGGGAAAGACUUGUAUAUCCCGUGUCCCUAUUGGAUACAACAAAGGAAAUAACAUUUACAAAGAAAUUAGUCAGUAACAAAAAAUGUAAAAUUCGAACUCCAUAGUAAAUGUAAAGCAUUUUUUUAAUGCAAUGUUUAUUAAUACUGUAUCAAGUAUUACAAUAGAUAAGGGUAUAUUAAAUGUCGGCCACUUUAAUUUCAAUAUAAAUGUUACAGGGCAAGACAUUAUAAUAAUAAAAGUACGAUAAUUACAUUUUUCUUAAUCAACAUGAACAUCGAUCAUGCAUCAUCAUCAGCAAAAAGAAACUUGCUGAACAAAUAAACCAUCCCAAUCCUCAAGCAAACAAGGUAGCACAGCUCAAUUUUUUGUGGUUGUUUUUGUUGUUGGUACCAAAAGCCUAGCUAUAACUAUAUAAUCUCCACUUUCAUAAAAUAUAUAUAAGAAUUGAUCAAUCUCAAUUAACAAAGUCGCUCACAAUUAAAAAAAAAACAAAUAAUUAAAAAGUCAGUUACUAUUGUUUGUUCUCUCUCAGCAUGCACAAUUGUAGAACUCAACCAACUCAUCCAUGGACCCCAUCUGAGUCUCAUUGCUCUCAAGCAUCCAUAGCAAGUGCUCAAACAGAACCACUUCACAUGAAACCACAACCCCAUCAGAAUUAGAACAAGACUUGUCCACUAGCUCCUGAAACACAGGGUGGUCUAUAAUGUCGGAGUUUACAAGGUACUGUCUUCUAGACUUGCCAACAUAGAUAGUGUGGAGUCCAUGUUGUUGUUGUUGUUGUUCUACUUCAUUGGAGGAGGAAGAG
RNAcentral lists this long non-coding RNA (2667 nucleotides) under Lupinus angustifolius (narrow-leaved blue lupine). Its description in RNAcentral is "long non-coding RNA (LANG_LNC001764)". The record is from RNAcentral. Lineage: Eukaryota; Viridiplantae; Streptophyta; Magnoliopsida; Fabales; Fabaceae.